Molecule: ribosomal RNA, 200 nt
Filed under: uncultured bacterium
Lineage: Bacteria
Description: partial 16S ribosomal RNA
Rfam family: Bacterial small subunit ribosomal RNA
Source: RNAcentral
UACGGAGGAUCCAAGCGUUAUCCGGAAUCAUUGGGUUUAAAGGGUCCGUAGGCGGUUUAAUAAGUCAGUGGUGAAAUCUGGUCGCUCAACGAUCAAACGGCCAUUGAUACUGUUAGACUUGAAUUAUAAGGAAGUAACUAGAAUAUGUAGUGUAGCGGUGAAAUGCUUAGAUAUUACAUGGAAUACCAAUUGCGAAGGCA